AUAAUUAAAUUUCAGGGAGAUCCUUAGUAUUAAGUGUGUCUCCCCCAUGUUGUGAUGGGAAGCAAUGAGCAGCAGGGAGUCUCAGGUGAUGUGGGGCUGGUGACCUGAGAGUGGCACCAGUGAGGGAAGUGGAAGACCCAGGUGCAAACCAUGUUCCCGUUUGUGCUGGGCUUCAUCUCCUCUUGCAGCCCAGCAAUUACCUACUGAGUGAUUUUUAUAACUCUUAUGAAUAGGCAGGUGCCACACCAGGCACUAAGCUCUGCUCAGUUAACCCUCUAACUGGGAAAGGCUCUGUAAAUGACCAGCUCCAUCCCAGAAUGGCUGAGGCUGGAGGCGCCUCUGGGACCGCCUGGUCCAACCCCUGCCCAAGCAGGGCCCACUUAGAGCAAGUCAGCCAGGACCAUGAACAGAAAAUAAUUAAUAAAACCAAAUCACAGCUUCCCUUGUCUCGUUUUUUCCACUCCUGCCGUUCUGAUCCUAUGAUAUUCUCCUUCCCCCUGCCAGCCCUCACAACAAUUUUGUUAUUACAAAGUUAAUUUUCUGCCACUUUGUAAGGUCAGUGUCUGAAAAGCUUGGUUGCAGGGAGAGGCAAGAGACAGAGGGAAAGGAGCACCAGGGCUGUGUCAGGUUAGUGGGCAGGUGGCAAAAGCACCCGGAGGGGAAGUGUGGGCACAGCGAUGCAGGGAAACAACUGGCUGGGUCCAAAAGUCGUUCUUCAACCGUUAUGCUUCCUUAGGUCAAAAACCCUCCGAGUUGGUUGUUGAGUUACUUGCAUGAGUGUUUUGAGCGAGUUUGCACUGUGCAGGGUGGGUGGGUACUGUCCUUCGGCUGUGGAUGGGAUAGCCAGGCAUUGUCCAGCACAGGUCUCUGCAGUGUUCAGGAGGAUUUGUGAUCUGUGUGAAUAGCUCAAAUUUAUUGUAGUUAGUUUUUAACUCUUUCUGCCGACUAUCCGUUGCCCGAAGAUUAAGCCUUUCUUGUUAAUUAAAAGCCCUUUGCUGCCUGUGACCGAUCUAUCCGGUAGGAGUUGCCUUGCAGUGAUCAGAACUGAUUAAAAUAAAGGAUGGAGGUUAUUUUUACUACUGAUGAAGUGGUUACAGAGGUUUAGAUCAAAUUAAAUAGAGGAUAAAAUUUACCACUGAUUGAAUUAAAUGGAAGGCUCUGUAAAUAUGAAGAUGGAGGUUUGCUGUCUCCCUGGUGUUUCUGAACCCAUGGCUAUUUUUAAACCUUUCUCAUUCCAGUACGUAUAUUCGGGGGCACACUGUGAAAACCACAGUCCUUCCCUCCUGCCUACUAAAACCAGCUGAAGCAGCUCCUUCACCGAUGCAUCUACAGGCAGCUCUAAGAGCAGCUGCUUCCUGUUUAUAAAGGCUGCUGCUCCACCUGACAGCAUCAAUCUCCAGCGUGACUUGGUGAGCAGGGCUUGGUUUUCUCUUGCCGUGCUGACGAAUUCACUCCUGCAGACAAAUUCAGUGAGCAGUUGUGGUGCAGAACACCGCAUCGAAGUGCUUUCAAGCAGACCAGCGUUGUGCAGCAUCACCUGGGGGGGAUCCUGCUUGUUCGAGCUGGGCUGCAGUGCCUACCACAAGGCAGCAGUGGGGUUCCAGCCAUCCUCCUAGUCCCCAGGACCUGGUAGCACGUGGGCUCUGUGACGCUCCGGUCUGCUCAUCCUGCAUGCAGCCAUGGGCUGUGGCGUGGGCAGGACGUGGUGUUUGCCUUUCUGUGCUCUGAGACAACAAAAAUGCUUCGCUGGAGCUCAGCCAGGAAUGUUGGAGGGGAAGAGAAGUCAUUGGUUCUGCAUCUCCUGGCCACCUCUGAAAGUGGUUCUUUGUGUCUCUGACAGCACGGGCUGUUUUGGUGCAACAUCAGUGAUCCCUGUUAGGGAUGGGGUGGUGCUGAUCAAUUAACCUUCUCCAGAUGGAAAUAUUUCUAAAAUUACGUUGAAAUUGUAUUUAGAAACAUACUGACUUAUAGCUUUCUGUCUAUCGGGAACAACUACAACUAACCCCAAUGCUGAGCACUUGUAGUUGAACCCUGGAGCACUGCUUCACUUUCCCCAUGUGCCAGACCCGGAGCAAUGAUCUUGAGCUGCUUUCAGUUUAGUUUGACUUGAAACACCCCCAUUUUCUGCUGUGGUUUCAGUGGAAAUAUUUCCCAAGAAAAAUUGUCCUAAUGGGAUUUCCACUCUCUUGGGACGAGACGUGCUCUGAAAGCAGCUUCUAUAAUUUCAGUGAUGCUCAGAACAAUUCCGAGCUAACGCUUGCUCCUGGUCCCAAAAUGAGCUGUGUCUGCACGCUUCCAUUUCAGAUAAAUAACCUAUCAAGUGACUGUCAUUUACAGCAGAUACAAUGUUCAUCUGAAGUUUUAAUUUAAUGAAAUAGUUUUCAAUUCCGGCCUGCCACACAUAUUGGGAACAGUGAAGGAAAUAGUCCAGUUCUGGCUGUUCUUCAUGUAACAGUUCUCUUUUUUUGUCUCUAUUCAGAACGUGCUUUUUUUCUGUCUUUUUAUCAAAAGUACCACCAAAAUCAAUACAGCUUACAGGAGAGAGAAAUACAAAUCAGAACUAAAAGAGAACCUCUAGUUUAUUAGGUUUUUAAUUAAACAUGAUGAACACAUUUUAAAUAACACAAAGGCCUCAGGCAGAGCUGCAUCUAAUCGAAACAGAUUAAGUCACCCGUCCACACUUGGGUAGUUAUUAAUUCUGUUUAUUUAUGCAUGCUUGCUGAAGGCAGAGUUCACUGCUGCUGUGUUGCAGUUUAUUGCACAGGGAGGCUUUUGCUGCAUGGAAUUGUGCUCCUAAUUAGCAUUCAGAUGUUGAUGAUGAAGAACAUUGGUGAGGCUAAUUGAACCACCUCUGCAAUUCAGGGCUGCCUUCCAAAGUUAAGAGAAUUGGGGUGAAGCAGUAGUUUUUGCAUUAUUUCUUGGACUCUUCCUCCCUUUUCUCCUCCGCUUUGUCCCAUCUUUUCAAGAGAUGUUAAAAUUCUCAAAAAGCAAAUGCAAAAUGUUCCUUCGGAAGGAGGUUUUGCUCGUGCAUCUCCAUGCAGAACUGCUGAUGACACACUGUGACAUCCUUGAUAACUAGCUUUUAUCAUGAAAUAUGCUGCCCUUUAAAUAUUUUACAUUGCUUUUGAUGUAGAGUAGUUGAGGUAAACAACCUAGAUUCAAACAACCUCUUAAAUUUAUGUGCAGGGAUAGUUAAUCCUUGCUGGCGAUAAACCUUAAUUGGCCAUGUACAUGGAUUUACAAGUUCAUAAAUUUUAAAAUAUCCACACCUGGCUUCAGCUUAAAGCUCAUUUGUCAUAAAAUACAAGUGGAGAUCUGUCUGCCAAAAAUGACAAGAUACAGCAAACUAAUUCCCUAACGUGUUUACGAGUGUUUGUAAUCCAGUGUAGCUGGUCAAGAAAUUACUUAUGCAAAACACACGUACUUAUUUGCCUGGCUUUUCUGCCUGGAAUCAUCUUCAAAUGUCUCUCAUCUGCCCUUUUUGGAAUAUCUGCUCAUGAAAACAUUGUUUUCAUUGCUCACUCCUUUGAAGCCAGCCUUUUCAGUUAUGCUGGAAGACAGAGCUGCUUACUGGGGCAAAAAUACCAUGAAUUUUAUUUACUGUUUAUGUGGCAGCUAUAGAAAAUGUGAUUCAUAGCAAAAUUGAAACAGAGCCUCUCGAAUGGUGAGAAGGAAAAAAUAUCAUCAAGGGAUAUUUGAAAAGGAGGCUGGCAUUGCAAGGCUGCGGUUGAGUAAUUGAGUGGGCUUAGAAGGUUAAGAUAUCACUUGCUGCUUGGUUUUAAUUUUUUAUCCACAAAAAGUAAACAUUACAGCUUCUUAGUGGGGUACCAGUUCCUGUUAAUGUUUUCUGGACUUCAGAAAUCAAGCCGUCCGGUGCUGUUUGCAAGUGCAUUAGUCAAAAACAGCUGAAAAUUAGCUGAGGAUUGAAAGAAAAACAAGCCACGGUCUAGUAAGUCCUCUAUUUUAAUAAGAAUAAAUCAAGUUUCAGUUUAAGAAAAAAGGUGGGAACGUACAGUCCCAACUACGGUGUAUUCUAAGAACUUAGGCUAUAAAAAAACAAAACACAUCAAUCCUCACGGUAAAAAGUAACUGAUGAAGGACAAGAUUCUUCUGCUUGGGGGGAAAAAAACAAAACCCAAUUAUUUAAGAGUUGCAUAAAACUCCAGUUACUCAGCAGUUGACAGAUACACAAAAUUAUGAGGUGUAAUACAGCCAGAAAAUAUAAGGUAUAAUCUGGCUAGGAAAGGUGAAUUUAGCUUAAACACAGCUUUUUAGACAAAAGAUAUCCAUCUUUUGGGUUGUGAUUAACUUGCAUCAGUCUUUGAUCCAAGCCCUUGUUUAAAGGGAUCAAUAUUGCACAUACAGCACUGAGUUUAUUGUCAAGUCCUUUCGGAAAUGAGACAGUGAAUUAAAAAUCAAUUAUACGUGCAGAAAAGUUUGUGUAGGGCAAUCAAUUUUGUCCUUUUAGUUUGCAGAAAGAUUCCAUUGUUUAACCAGCUGUGAAGAGGAAUGAAUUUUAAAAGCCUCCAGCAAAUGAGAUAGCCCAAAUGGGGUGGGGGUAGAUUCAAAAAAAAUUAUUUCAGCAUUUCAUGUACAGCAAAGGCUGCCUUCAGGGAUAAAUCUAUAAAUCCUGUCAGUGACCUUGGCUUCAAAAUGGGUGAUUUCACUGCUUUCGUUAAUCUUGAUCUUUCCACAGCUGCCAGAUAAGUUAGCCUUUUCUUAACAAUAUCAUUAUAGUUUUUGUUUGCUUUGUUUAACUGCCAUAUGUUUCUCGAUUCAUCGUCUUUCUGCCUUCAUGUGGAAUAUUUUUAUCUAUUAAGUGCUUGCCAUAUUGCUGAUCCCCCAAAAUAAUACAACAAAUAUUUACACUGGCCAGUUGCCACGGCUCAGAGGGCUAUUUCUGCACAGGGCCGGGAAGCUAAACUCCGAGCUGAACUCCUCUGUAAACUGAAUAAUUUGUAGGUGCUUUCACAAGUUGGGUUUGGUUUGGUUUUCUAAAAAAAAAAAUAGGCUUGUAAUAGGGAGACAGAAGCACAGUUCACUGUUGCCAGAGGGAAGGAAUCUGCUGCCUGGAAGAUUAAUAAAUGCUCUAGCAGUUGAUUGUUGAAA
This is a long non-coding RNA of Anas platyrhynchos (mallard), 5109 nucleotides long. RefSeq lists it as uncharacterized. Lineage: Eukaryota; Metazoa; Chordata; Aves; Anseriformes; Anatidae. The record is from RefSeq and is a predicted model, not a curated record.